ACGCUCGACACCUACGGGAGGCAGCAGUGGGGAAUAUUGCACAAUGGGGGAAACCCUGAUGCAGCGACGCCGCGUGGAGGAAGAAGGUCUUCGGAUUGUAAACUCCUGUUGUUGGGGAAAAAGAGGAUGGUACCCAACAAGGAAGUGACGGCUAACUACGUGGCAGCAGCCGCGGUAAUCUGAGCGGGCUGGCAAGGC
This 198-nucleotide ribosomal RNA is filed under the name uncultured bacterium. RNAcentral describes it as "partial 16S ribosomal RNA". It matches the Rfam family "Bacterial small subunit ribosomal RNA", at positions 328 to 539 of the family's 1533-position model. The record is from RNAcentral.